GCAAACGGGUGAGUAAUGCAUAGGAAUCUGUCCUGUAGUAAAGAAUAACGUAUGGAAACAUACGCUAAUACUGUAUACUACCUAGUGCUUGAUUGUACUAGGGAAAGCCUUCGGGCGCUACUUGAGGAGCCUAUGUCGGAUUAGUUAGUUGGUGGGGUAAAAGCCUACCAAGACUGUGAUCUGUAGCUGGUCUGAGAGGAUGAUCAGCCACGUUGGGACUGAGACACGGCCCAAACUCC
RNAcentral lists this ribosomal RNA (239 nucleotides) under uncultured bacterium. RNAcentral's name for it is "partial 16S ribosomal RNA". It matches the Rfam family "Bacterial small subunit ribosomal RNA", at positions 98 to 339 of the family's 1533-position model. The record is from RNAcentral.